This 621-nucleotide long non-coding RNA is filed under the name Monodelphis domestica (gray short-tailed opossum). RNAcentral describes it as "lncRNA (ENSMODG00000039506.1)". Lineage: Eukaryota; Metazoa; Chordata; Mammalia; Didelphimorphia; Didelphidae. The record is from RNAcentral.
UCAGGAGAGGAGAGGAGAGUCCAAAGGCAAUGAGAAAGACUGGAGGGAGAGAGACCGGCUUCCUUCCUUGGCCAGAAAGCCUCUUAAGCAACUCUGAACUUGAGAGAUUCAUUCCUGGAGUUUGGGAGCUGAGCCCUAUGGUAGUAAGGGGUUGUGAGUUCUAUUCAUGUGAUCUAAGCAUAAUGGAAGGAGUUUUCCGCAGAGGGAGAUGUGUAUGCAUGAACUUACUCAUCAAUAAACAGAUGAAUAAUAUGUAAACAGCAUACAAUGACUUAUGAAACAAACAAACAAACAAAUCUCCUGAAUGCCUCCAAAUUCAUCAGUUCCGUAGAAUGAGGCAAUCUCACACACUAGGACUUGACUAGUCUGGCCCAAGGAGUACUUAGGAUAUACUGACGUUCCCAUGGAAAGUCAUGAUUUUCAUCCAGGAAGGGAUGUUAGUCUUUCUAUAGCCACAGCUAUCCCAUUAUGGGGCAGAUAAGAUCAUCAGUGGACUCAAUAGCUGGCUCUAGCAAGAAGAAAGCUGCCAGUUUGAGUGUCUUUUUCUCUCUGACACUGAGUUUGGAACCUUCUGCUGAAGCCGGGGCUUCCUCACUUCCUGUUGCCAUCUGACUCUAGGAC